GCGGGAAUAGCUCAGCUGGUUAGAGCAUCAGCCUUCCAAGCUGAGGGUCGCGGGUUCGAAUCCCGUUUCCCGCUCCA
This 77-nucleotide transfer RNA is filed under the name Candidatus Fermentibacterota bacterium. RNAcentral describes it as "tRNA-Gly". It matches the Rfam family "tRNA". Rfam says of the family: Transfer RNA (tRNA) molecules are approximately 80 nucleotides in length. The record is from RNAcentral. Lineage: Bacteria; Pseudomonadati; Candidatus Fermentibacterota.